Molecule: ribosomal RNA, 520 nt
Filed under: uncultured Glomeraceae
Lineage: Eukaryota; Fungi; Glomeromycota; Glomeromycetes; Glomerales; Glomeraceae
Description: SSU rRNA
Rfam family: Eukaryotic small subunit ribosomal RNA
Source: RNAcentral
AGCAGCCGCGGUAAUUCCAGCUCCAAUAGCGUAUAUUAAAGUUGUUGCAGUUAAAAAGCUCGUAGUUGAAUUUCGGGAUCAAUACGUCGGUCGUGCUUCGGUACGUACUGGCGUCAUUGGUUUCUCCCUUCUGACGAACCAUGAUGUCAUUAACUUGGUGUCAUGGGAAAUCAGGACUGUUACUUUGAAAAAAUUAGAGUGUUUAAAGCAGGCUCACGCUUGAAUACAUUAGCAUGGAAUAAUGAAAUAGGACGUUCGAUCCUAUUUUGUUGGUUUUAGGAUCAACGUAAUGAUUAAUAGGGAUAGUUGGGGGCAUUAGUAUUCAAUUGUCAGAGGUGAAAUUCUUGGAUUUAUUGAAGACUAACUACUGCGAAAGCAUUUGCCAAGGAUGUUUUCAUUAAUCAAGAACGAAAGUUAGGGGAUCGAAGACGAUCAGAUACCGUCGUAGUCUUAACCAUAAACUAUGCCGACUAGGGAUCGGAUGAUGUUAAUUUUUUAAUGACUCAUUCGGCGCCUUACG